GCAGAAACGUGAACAAAGAACCCUAAAGCUAAGGAGAAAAAAAUUGCGACGGCUUGGGAAAAAAUAGGAUUUGAUGCAGCAAAAAACGGACAGCAAGCUGCCACGACGUUACAGCAUGCUGAAAAUAUUUCCGAGGCGCGAUUUUGGCGAGUUCUAGCCAAUUUCGGGAAAGGUUUUGAGGACAAUGAUGUGGACGUGAUUAAGAGAAGUCCAUACAAGGUACAGAUGUUUAUUCUGGAGAUCCAUCAGCAUAGGAGUUCCUCUCAGCUGUGUCGGAAGUGCUUCACUGUUCUGGAGCCUAAAUUUUGAUGCUGGUCACUUAAUGUAUAUAUUUGUACAUUCAGGGGUACGGCGGGGGCCUUGUUCCGCCAUAUGUUGUUGUUACUAUUCUUAGAGGUCUGUAGACAUAUGUAUAUGUGGGUUGUUUGUGAGUUAGUUUUGAUGUUGCCUAUUCGAUAUGUUGUGAAUGUUUUUGUUAUAGCAGCCUUGUCGGCUCACAUGCCCUUUCAUGAUAUGAUACAAAUGAAAGAGGCUACAUGUACAUAAAAAAGUUUUAAACUAUUG
Solanum dulcamara is the source of this 564-nucleotide long non-coding RNA. RefSeq lists it as uncharacterized. Lineage: Eukaryota; Viridiplantae; Streptophyta; Magnoliopsida; Solanales; Solanaceae. The transcript is spliced from 4 exons. The record is from RefSeq and is a predicted model, not a curated record.